RNAcentral lists this unclassified non-coding RNA (221 nucleotides) under Hevea brasiliensis (rubber tree). The record is from RNAcentral. Lineage: Eukaryota; Viridiplantae; Streptophyta; Magnoliopsida; Malpighiales; Euphorbiaceae.
UUCUGAUGGAGCUCCUAAGACAAACAUAAUUGGAAUUCACUGCAGAAAAAUCAUACUUGGAGUCCACAAUCCUAUUUUCAUUAGCAUUCACUACAUUAUCAAUAAUAUAAAAUCCAUAUAGUGGAGGAAAAGUACCCUCAUACCCAUUUUCUUGAUAAAAAAUUGGAUAAGAAAUUCAUUGAAAUAUACUAUAUACACAAAAAGUCUGCCUAAGUAGUUUG